CAUAACAGCGCGCCGGGGCGGCCGACGCACCCGCCGAGCGCGGGGGGCGGGUCCCGCGCCGCGGCCGCUGCUUUGUCAUCGUCGGGCGGCCCCGCCCCGCGUGAGACCGCAGGAUUUCGUGAGGGAGUCUGCGACCCCAUGACUAAGGGCCUCAGCAGGGAAAACAAGAGACUGGGUUUGUGACGCGGCACUUCUCAAACUGCAUGCCUGAGUUCUCACUAGGAAGUAUCCUGUACGGCCAAAAAGUAAAACGCAAAUAUUAAUGUGUGUGUGGUCUUGAGCCAGCAAUUUCACUACUUGGAAUUUAUUGUAAGGAGAUAAAGACAGAUCUGCAGUCCUCAAGGAAGGACUAACAUUUUACAAGAGGCUCGCUUCCCAAGGAAAAUAAAAAGGGAUCCGACUGACAUUCCGGCACUAAGGGUCGGCUGCAUCACCUUGGACAUCGCCUUACAAUACCAUGAAGCAAUUGAAAAGGAGUUAAGAGGAUGUGAUAACUCCAUUGCCAGGGAUAGCCAUGAAUUAUUGUGGGUGAAACACAGACUAUAAAGCAGCAGUUAAAAAAAGAGUGUUUGCAAAGGAGAAAGCCUGAAAGAUGGACAGUAAAAUACUGCCGGGGUCUUUGGGUGUGAUUGUGGGAAUAUCAGUACUUUUCUGUACCUUUAACUUUAUUUGUCAAUAAGCAUGUGUCACUACUUUUGUAAUGGAGGAAACGUCCUUUCCAUGUUUGAAACAAGGAUCUCGGAUCUCCUUGCUGUGCUGCACCUGAGAAGACGCAGGUGUGGAGCAAGAACAGGGCACUGUGGAGUCAGA
This is a non-coding RNA of Equus caballus (horse), 810 nucleotides long. The record is from RefSeq and is a predicted model, not a curated record. NCBI's taxonomy places the organism in Eukaryota, Metazoa, Chordata, Mammalia, Perissodactyla, Equidae.